ACAAGACCUAAUGCACUGAUGGAAAGACAAGUCAGCCUGAAAGCAAGAAUGCAAAAUAGAUCGGCCACACCAGACAACACAGAAGAAGCGUAAAGACAACCAAAAAAACAGGGGGGGAAAAACCGCACGGCGGCCGGCGACAGACAUGAAACUCAUCUCCCCUCCUGCCCCCUCCCCUUUCAUCUUUGCAAAGCAAAGCAUCGAAUCCACCGAUGCCAAGUUGGCGCAUUCCAGAAAGGAUGGAUGCGAGGCAGAAACAAGGGGCCUCGCCCUCCCCCUUCGCGCCCCCUUUUCUUUCCCAUCCCAGAGACUGCCCGCUUCCUAAGUAACAGAGAAGAGGCAAGAUUCCCUUCUCUCCACCUUUCGGAAGCGCCCCAGAGUCGACGGACGCUCGCUGAAAGGCUGCCCAAAGCUACCCGCAAGUGACCAAGAGAGGCAUUUUUGGAAGCCGCUCGUCCCAGCCCGCCCAGCCUCCUCUCUCCAUUGUUCAGGCUGAAGCAGGGAUUUCUGAAGAGGCGCGGAUCGAGGAACACACCCUUUCUUCUCGAGCCUCAGCAGGCCGCUUUCUUCGGCCAGUUUCGGGGCGAAGCCCUAGCUUAAAGCUGCGGGAGGCUCUCGGCGAACAAAGACUUUCUUGUCGUAGCAACAGGGAGAAGGUAAUGGGGAGCCGCUUACCUCCAAAGCUCCCGCUGUCCAAGAGGCUCCCAGGAGCAGAAAAGCUAAAUGCGGCAGCAUCGCGGGCAAAAGCAGCAGCUAAGGACGCUGGAGCUCAGGCACUAGUUUUAAAAUAUAUACGGAGACAGCUGAAAGAUAUCCGCCCAGUCGCCUCGCUUCGCCUCCUCGCUCUGCUGAGGAAUGAAAACCGAGCUGCAAGAGCAGCAGCAGCAGCGUUAGCGGAGCUUCGGAAAGGAGAAGGAGAGUCAGCUGAUACUCCAACCCGCCCAAAGCGGCGGCGACGGCGGCAGCAGUAGCAGCAGGCCGGUCCUUCGCAGAGGCCUCCUAGCGACCGGACUGCGCAACUGCAACUGCCAUCGUUUGAUUCCUGAAAGCCCCGGCCGGGAAAAAGCGAAAAGGGAGGAGCGGAAGGGUCUCUGCGUGAGGCGGUAUCGGCCACAGUCUCGUAUUUGUUUCUGGCGCAGCAGGCGAUGGAGCGGGAUGUAGAGCUAGGUCUGAGCGAUCUCGAACAUUAUUCAGUUUAAUCGGUUUAUGGCGUUCAGAAUUGCCCCUGCCCCAGAUCAGAAGGAUUGCAGAAACGAAAAUCGAUUUUAAGAUGGAAGGAUCCUAAAAUGAACUUUGUUUAGUUCUGAUGUCAUCAUCAAGCAGGGAUCAGGAGUUUUUAAAUAUAUUACUUCGGUCA
Long non-coding RNA from Pantherophis guttatus, 1357 nucleotides. RefSeq lists it as uncharacterized. The record is from RefSeq and is a predicted model, not a curated record. NCBI's taxonomy places the organism in Eukaryota, Metazoa, Chordata, Lepidosauria, Squamata, Colubridae.